UAGCCUUAACACUUUACUACGUAUAUAAAUAACGCCAAAAUAUGGAUCAUUCAUCCUUUCACUUAUACCGACGAAAACUGCCGCUACUAAUUAAAUCCUAAAUUGUAAUUAUCCGUUACAUGCAUGGCUUCUUCACUAGCCAAACCCAACGAGAAAGGCAAGAACAAGUUCAAGAUUCAUGAAGACAUUGAAGCCUCAGAUUUUGUGUCCACUCAUAUUUGCAUCAAACGUAUUCCCUCCACGCAAGCACUUGAUCGGGAAGUGAUUCUACGACGCAUACGCCAACGCCGAUGCGUAAAUAAGGUCAGAUCGGUAUUUCAAAUACUGUGUGGUUUGCCACUUUUGGGCAAAAAACACGAUGGUAAUGACGACCACGAUCACGAUGGCACUUCCACAUUGCCUUGACUCUUGAAAUUGUUUCUGUGCUAUUAGAUGAUGCCGUUGUAGUUUGUAAGUUGUAACUUGCAUUAGUAGUUGUGAACUUGUGAAGUUGUACAUAUACUAGUAUACUACUCUCAUAGUUGUGAAAAAUCAAACCCUAUCAUAUCUAUUGUUGAGAAUUACUGUAAAUUUUGGAUUCCAGAUAAUUUGAAGCGUUCAUAUUUGUCCCA
RNAcentral lists this long non-coding RNA (611 nucleotides) under Eutrema salsugineum. RNAcentral's name for it is "long non-coding RNA (ESAL_LNC000346)". Lineage: Eukaryota; Viridiplantae; Streptophyta; Magnoliopsida; Brassicales; Brassicaceae. The record is from RNAcentral.